This 460-nucleotide ribosomal RNA is filed under the name uncultured bacterium. RNAcentral's name for it is "partial 16S ribosomal RNA". It matches the Rfam family "Bacterial small subunit ribosomal RNA", at positions 338 to 795 of the family's 1533-position model. The record is from RNAcentral.
CCUACGGGGGGCUGCAGUGAGGAAUAUUGGUCAAUGGGCGGGAGCCUGAACCAGCCAAGUCGCGUGAGGGAAGACGGUCCUAUGGAUUGUAAACCUCUUUAGGCGGGGAGCAAUGCCGGGCACGCGUGCCCGGAGGGAGAGUACCCGCAGAAUAAGCAUCGGCUAACUCCGUGCCAGCAGCCGCGGUAAUACGGGGGAGGCGAGGUUUAUCGGGAUUUAUUGGGUUUAAAGGGUGCGUGGGCGGAUUUUUAAGUCAGCGGUAAAAUGUCCGGGCUCAACCCGGGCCGGCCGUUGAAACUGGGGAGCUUGAGUGGGCGAGAAGUAUGCGGAAUGCGUGGUGUAGCGGUGAAAUGCAUAGAUAUCACGCAGAACUCCGAUUGCGAAGGCAGCAUACCGGCGCCCGACUGACGCUGAGGCACGAAAGCGUGGGGAUCGAACAGGAUUAGAUACCCCUGUAGUC